Molecule: unclassified non-coding RNA, 395 nt
Filed under: soil metagenome
Description: partial contains 5.8S ribosomal RNA, internal transcribed spacer 2, and large subunit ribosomal RNA
Rfam family: 5.8S ribosomal RNA (bases 1-122)
Source: RNAcentral
GAUGAAGAACGCAGCGAAAUGCGAUACUUGGUGUGAAUUGCAGAAUCCCGUGAACCAUCGAGUCUUUGAACGCAAGUUGCGCCCGAAGCCAUCAGGUUGAGGGCACGUCUGCCUGGGCGUCACAUAUCGUUGCCUAAUGCCUAUUGCAGUGCAAUAGGAAUUUCUAGGGCGAAUGAUGGCUUCCCGUGAGCGUUGUUGCCUCGCGGUUGGUUGAAAAUCGAGUCCUUGGUAGGGUGUGCCAUGGUAGAUGGUGGUCGAGUUAGAACGAUACCGAUCAUGUGCAUGCUCCCCAAAAUAUGGCCUCUAUGACCCACACGCGUCUUUUGACGCUCAUGACGAGACCUCAGGUCAGGCGGGGCUACCCGCUGAAUUUAAGCAUAUCAAUAAGCGGAGGA